This 136-nucleotide small nucleolar RNA is filed under the name Salarias fasciatus (jewelled blenny). RNAcentral describes it as "Small nucleolar RNA SNORA84 (ENSSFAG00005008207.1)". It matches the Rfam family "Small nucleolar RNA SNORA84". Lineage: Eukaryota; Metazoa; Chordata; Actinopteri; Blenniiformes; Blenniidae. The record is from Rfam by way of RNAcentral.
GCCUGGUGGUUCCUGGAGUCGGCUCCAAAGUGCUGAACUGCAGGUUUUUGUUAACAGGCACAUAUUAAUGUCUGCAGUUUUAUGCAUGGAGGCUGUCUCUAUAGCAGCCUUCCAUAGCCCGGCUGCAGAUACACCU